CCAGGGGAAUCCACGUGCUUAUGGAGACGAUUGUGAUUUCUACAUCGUGACUUUGCUUUGAGUGACGACGUGGUGGUCGUGCGGGGCCAGAGUCUCCACCUCUUCUGAUGUGUAUCUCGCUGUUAUCGGAAAUAAGGAUCUUGGCAUUGCUCUGAAUUUACGCGGAUCGAUAUCAGCCCGGGGCUACUAGUACGACAUACUGGAGCUCUGAAUUUGUCGUUUCAAUGCCAAACAUCUCAAUCGAACUACCCACCAAUCACAAUCACAAUCACAAUCAAAUAACCCGGAGAAUCCCCUUGGAAAUCUCCAUUUCCCCAGACCAACAUGGUUUCGGCACUCCAGGCCAUGGCCUGGUUUUUGAAACCGUUGAAAGCCAACCUAAAGACGACUGAGGAAAUGUCCGAUGCCCUAACCUCGAGGAAGCCGGGGACGAACUGCUCACCUUAGCGAAGAUACAAGCAUUCUUGGGAGUCCACCAUUUGAUAGCUGCCACCCAAUAAAGCACCAUCGGAGCCGUGUAUACAUAUUGCGGGGUAAAUUCCUGAUGGUUUGAGUCCUUU
This 560-nucleotide unclassified non-coding RNA is filed under the name Yarrowia lipolytica. The record is from RNAcentral. Lineage: Eukaryota; Fungi; Ascomycota; Dipodascomycetes; Dipodascales.